This 581-nucleotide ribosomal RNA is filed under the name uncultured Cryptococcus. RNAcentral's name for it is "eukaryotic LSU rRNA". It matches the Rfam family "Eukaryotic large subunit ribosomal RNA", at positions 85 to 655 of the family's 3401-position model. Lineage: Eukaryota; Fungi; Basidiomycota; Tremellomycetes. The record is from RNAcentral.
AGCGGCGAGCGAAGCGGGAAGAGCUCAAAUUUGUAAUCUGGCGUCCUCCGGGCGUCCGAGUUGUAAUCUAUAGAGACGUUUUCCGUGCCGGACCGUGUCCAAGUCCCUUGGAACAGGGUAUCAAAGAGGGUGACAAUCCCGUACUUGACACGACGACCGGUGCUCUGUGAUACGUUUUCUACGAGUCGAGUUGUUUGGGAAUGCAGCUCAAAAUGGGUGGUAAAUUUCAUCUAAAGCUAAAUAUAGGCGAGAGACCGAUAGCGAACAAGUACCGUGAGGGAAAGAUGAAAAGCACUUUGGAAAGAGAGUUAAACAGUAUGUGAAAUUGUUGAAAGGGAAACGAUUGAAGUCAGUCAUGUCCAUUGGAUUCAGCUGGUUCUGCCAGUGUAUUUCCUUUGGACGGGUCAACAUCAGUUUGAGCCGACGGAUAAUGGCAGAGGGAAUGUGGCACCCCCGGGUGUGUUAUAGCCCUUUGUCGCAUACGUCGGCCCAGACUGAGGAAUGCAGCUCGCCUUUAUGGCCGGGGUUCGCCCACGUACGAGCUUAGGAUGUUGGCAUAAUGGCUUUAAACGACCCGUCUU